ACACUAGGGCAUCUCUGAUCUAUGAAAAGCAAUGUUCUCUUGUAAUAGUUUGCAAUGUAAUUAAUAGGCAAAUUCUCUUACAUAUUUCAAGGCCUGAGUCUGGAAAUUCCUUGCUUGAUUCGAAGAUGUUCACAAUAGCACGUUUUGAAUCAUGCAAACAAUGCUGAAAACCUAUUCUGUAAGUUAAAACUGAGGGAUAUGAUUCCUAUAAUUUAGCUGCUAGAAGCAGUCUAAUCUGACAAUUCGUUCGAUAUAUAAGAUUAUCAAAAAUCCAAAUUUGGCUUUUAUUAGCUGAGCAACGCAUUCUGUCCUCAGCAGUGGGUAUAAAAGAAUCAUAAUCGACUGUUGCUCAAGAAAUAAUACAACAAUGUGAACCUCAUUUGUAAUAUUUCAGAAGUUCUUCAGUAUUUUCUCGCUUGAGACUCCAUCUGCUACCAGAAUUGAUGUUACUUCCUCAGCCAUCUGUUUCCGCCCACAAAGCACUGCAACAGCGGCCAAAGGGCUAUCAAUUUUCUUGGCCUUGGAAAAAGCAGCCUGUGAAAAGCAAUGAUGUAAAAAGGUGUUAAAUUAAUUCUUAAGCAUUAACAACCUUAGAAGACGUGUAAAACUACCUGUACAUAUCCAGUUUCUCCAGUCCAACUACCUUCUGGCUGUGAUAGUACUGGUACA
Molecule: unclassified non-coding RNA, 669 nt
Filed under: Hevea brasiliensis (rubber tree)
Lineage: Eukaryota; Viridiplantae; Streptophyta; Magnoliopsida; Malpighiales; Euphorbiaceae
Source: RNAcentral